UCAAGCUACAAAGAGCACAAGGGGAAUGCCUUGGCACCGAGAGCCGAUGAAGGACGUGACUAACUGCGAUAAGCUACGGGGAGCUGUAAGUGAGCGUUAUAUCCGUAGAUUUCCGAAUGGAGCAAUCCGAUUAGAGGAAAGUCUAAUCAUCAUAUACUGAAUACAUAGGUAUAUGAGGGGAACCGCCUGAACUGAAACAUCUAAGUAGGGCGAGGAAGAGAAAUCAACUGAGAUUCCGUAAGUAGUGGCGAGCGAACGCGGAAGAGGCCAAACCUAAUGUAGUAAUAUGUUAGGGGUUCGGACAGUAUAAUGAAUUGUCGAGAUUUAGCCGAAUGUCAUGGGAAGGGCAAUCAAAGAUGGUGAAAAUCCAGUAGGCGAAAAGUUAAGACAUCAGACUGUAUCCAGAGUACCGCCGGACACGUGAAACCCGGUGGGAAUAUGGGGGGACCAUCCUCCAAGCCUAAAUACUACUCGGUGACCGAUAGAGAAGAAGUACUGUGAAGGAAAGGUGAAAAGCACCCCGGAAGGGGAGUGAAAGAGAACCUGAAACCUUGUGUUUACAAGCACCGAAAGUUCAUCAACGAACGAUCGGGUACCUUUUGUAGAAUGGUCCGGCGAGUGAAUGUAACUGGCAAGGUUAAGCACUUAAGGUGUGAAGCCGUAGCGAGAGCGAGUCUGAAAAGGGCGUAAGAAGUCAGUUGUAUUCGACCCGAAACCGGGUGACCUACCCAUGUCCAGGCUGAAGUGCAGGUAAAACUUCAUGGAGGGCCGAACCGACUCCCGUUGAAAUGGUAGCGGAUGAGGUGUGGGUAGCGGAGAAAUUCCAAUCGAACCCGGAGAUAGCUGGUUCUCUCCGAAAUAGCUUUAGGGCUAGCCUUGGAAUAGAUUACUGGAGGUAAAGCACUGAAUUGGCUAGGGGCCGAGAGGUUACUGAACCUUAUCAAACUAAGAAUGCCAGAUAAUCGUUUUCCAGGAGUCAGACAGUGGGAGAUAAGUUUCAUUGUCAAAAGGGAAACAGCCCAGACCUACAGCUAAGGUCCCAAAGUAUAGUUAAGUGGAAAAGGAUGUGGAAUUGCAUAGACAACCAGGAUGUUGGCUUAGAAGCAGCCACUCAUUAAAAGAGUGCGUAAUAGCUCACUGGUCGAGUGAUUCUGCGCCGAAAAUUUAACGGGGCUAAACUAUACACCGAAGCUUAGGAUACCGCAAGGUAUGGUAGGAGAGCGUUCUGUACGGAGUGAAGUCGUAGCGAAAGCGGCGGUGGACUGUACAGAAGUGAGAAUGCCGGAAUAAGUAGCGAGAAUUAAGUGAGAAUCUUAAUGGCCGAAAGUCUAAGGUUUUUGGAGGAAGGUUCGUCCGCUCCAAGUAAGUCGGGAGCUAAGGUCAGGCCGAAAGGCGUAGCCGAUGCACAAACGGUUGAUAUUCCGUUACCGUCUACAAUUUAAACAAAGGGACACAUACAAAGCGUUUAACCCGGGCGAUGGUUGACCCGGGCGCAAGGGACUGAAAUAAGAGUAGGGAAGUAAAUGUGGCGUAUGGCGAGAAAAGCUUUGUGUAUAGAAGUAGACGCCCGUACCGCAAACCGACACAGGUGGACAGGAAGAGAAUUCUAAGGCCAGCGGGAGAAGGGUAGUUAAGGAACUCGGCAAAUUGACUCCGUAACUUCGGAAUAAGGAGUGCUCGAAAGAGCCGCAGAGAAUAGGCCCAGGCGACUGUUUAGCAAAAACACAGGUCUCUGCCAAAUCGAAAGAUGAAGUAUAGGGGCUGACACCUGCCCGGUGCCGGAAGGUUAAGAGGAGGAGUGCAAGCUCCGAAUUGAAGCCCCGGUAAACGGCGGCCGUAACUAUAACGGUCCUAAGGUAGCGAAAUUCCUUGUCGGGUAAGUUCCGACC
Molecule: ribosomal RNA, 1889 nt
Filed under: human gut metagenome
Description: bacterial LSU rRNA
Rfam family: Bacterial large subunit ribosomal RNA
Source: RNAcentral